AUGGUGGGAUCCUCCGUCGUGUACACGUCCUGCAGGCCUUCGUCGUGUACACGUCCUGCAUCCUUCCUCCACCACCCAGCCGACCAGGCCCAUCUCGGUGACCAGCCCGGGCUGCUCCCCGACGGCAGUGGUGACGGCAACUCCUCUCAUCUGAAAGGGUGCGGGGAGAGGUGUGUGGGCGCCGAGAUGUUUGCGACGGUUGCGCGGUGGGCGGAGAAGAAAGGGAAGCCCAAGAUGGCGCCGAUCGAGCUCACGACAACGGCGGAGCAGGCGCAGUCCAUCACCCGCACCAUCUUCGAUGUCGUCAAGGAGCACGGGCCCCUCACCAUCUCCGACGUUUGGGAGCACGUCACGGAUGUAGGCCCGAGGGGUUUGACAAGCAAGAGGCAGAUGAAGAUCAUGCUGCGGUGGAUGAGGGAGAAGCAGAAGCUCAGGCUCAUUUCUGACCAUGAUGGGCCUCACAAGCAAUUCCUCUACACGACAUGGUUCACCAACCCCAAGAAUGCGCCACAGAGGCCCAAGAGGGAGCUCAACAGGGAGAGCCUAGUGGCGGCGUGGACGAGACGGAGGAAGCGGUGUAUGAGGUGGUGCUGCGGCAGGCCGCGAAUGGUGGAGCACGUGUAG
This 624-nucleotide ribosomal RNA is filed under the name Triticum aestivum (bread wheat). RNAcentral's name for it is "partial small subunit ribosomal RNA". Lineage: Eukaryota; Viridiplantae; Streptophyta; Magnoliopsida; Poales; Poaceae. The record is from RNAcentral.